This 122-nucleotide microRNA precursor is filed under the name Pelobates cultripes (western spadefoot toad). The record is from RNAcentral. Lineage: Eukaryota; Metazoa; Chordata; Amphibia; Anura; Pelobatidae.
AUUGCUUCUGUGUACAGGUAUCUUUUAUACAGGUAACAAGCUGAGAUUAAGAGCACUCCCUUUAAGAUAGUGUUCUUAAUCUCAGUUUGUUACCUGUAUAAAAGACACCUGGGAGCCAGGAA